AUAAUAAUAAUAAUAAUAAUUCCUUGCACUAUUAUGCAUAACCUAUAUAACUACUAAUUUUGGUGAACAACCAAAAAUAUUUUCUGAGGCAAAUGACUGCAUUGAUCAAAUGUGCCAACCUUCACACUGGUAAAUAUUUGAGAGCUCAAAUUGUAAUUAUAAAAGAGUCAUAACAGUUUUAGUUACCAAUUAGUAUUUGCGUAAUCAAUAAAUGUUGCACAAAGAAAAAUAUGAAAGAUUAAUGUUAAGCAACGCUCAGAGCUCACCU
This 268-nucleotide unclassified non-coding RNA is filed under the name Hevea brasiliensis (rubber tree). Lineage: Eukaryota; Viridiplantae; Streptophyta; Magnoliopsida; Malpighiales; Euphorbiaceae. The record is from RNAcentral.